CAACUUCAGCAAAAGCCAAAGCAGCCAACAAAGCCACAGCCACCUCGGCUGUGCUGGGCUCUGCCAUUUGGGCAGCUCACCGGCCACUCCCCAGAAGCAGAGCAUUCUGUCCUUUCUCUUUUUAAAUCCACGUCAUCAUCUGAUCAUAAUGGGAAUCAAUCUCAAGUCACCACGCAAAGGCGUAUCCAUGGCAACAUCAAGAGGAAGGACACAGAAAUGAUGCUCCAGUGGCUGCAGCAGGAAAAGGAAACCUGUAGCUUGGACUGGGUUCAGGGGUGCCUUGGAUGCUCCCAGGAAAAGAGGGGAACCCUUGCAGUUCCGGAGGAAUUCGGAGACGCAAUCACUCGACCCCGGGAGCACACCACACUGGCAGGCUGAAGAGCUCAGCACUCUUCAUUUCCGAAAGAAGGUCACAGCUGAUAACUUCAGGGACACCAGAUCCGGUUGCUCAGCUGCCUGAUGCCAGCUUUGGCCAUAAAUUUGCAGAAGAAAAGAAAUGCAAGACCUUAAUUACUUUGAGCCUUAUCACCUACCCCAGACCACGAGCCCCAAGCUAUAAAAACCUUUCCCAGUGGCGGGGCCGGGGCACAGUUCUUGAGACUCUAGCCUGCUGUGUUCCCCCUUUUGCCUAGCAAAGAAUAAAGCUACUUUUUCUCCUUCAAAACUCCGUCUCCGUAUUUCUUUUUGGCAUUGGUGCACAGAAAGCCAAGAUUUUGGCAUCACUGCCAGGCAACCCAGCUUCGUGAAGAUUCGCGGCAUGCUGUGGCCCGCAGGCACCCAGCACGCGCCCGCUCCGCUGCCAUGGUGUCCAAGAGGAAGGUCAGCUCUGCCGAGUGGCGGAGAAGGAGGAGCCCAAGAGGAGACCAGCGAUGCUGUUGGCUAAAACAGCUUCUGCAAAAGUGGAAAUGAAGCCAAAAAGGUGGAAGGAAAGGAUAAAUCUUCAGGCAAAAAUGUGCAAACAAAGGGGAAAAGGGAGCAAAGGGAAAACAGGCUGAAGUGGCUCACCAAGAGACUAAAGAAGACUUACCUGCAGAAAACGGAGAAAAUAAAAAUGAGGAGAGGCCAGCCUCUGAUGAAGCAGGAAAGAAAGAAGCCAAGUCUGAUUAAUAUCAAACACCCGGUCCUAUCAGUGGUCCCUGUCUCCCUUCUUGUACAAUCCAGAGGAAUAUUUUUACCAACUAUUGUGUAAAUGCAAGUUUUUUAGUAGCUCUAGAAACAUUUUUAAAAAGGAGGGAAUCCCACUUCAUCUCAUUUUUUAAGUGUGUGACAGGGAAGAGCUAAAUCGGACUCCACAUUGGAUCUGUUUCUUUGACUUUAACCUUUGAUUUUCGUUGCUUUUGUUAUUAUAAUCAUGCAUAAUGACCUCCCUCAGGAAACCCUGCCCACCUGUGAAUGGCUGCAAGAAAAAAGAAACUAACACAUCACCUCACUGAGGCUGGUCAUUCCAGGAGAUGUUUUGCAAGACUAAUGGCCCUUUUACUUUACUUCCUCACCGCCUCUCCCUCUCUGAUUCUAUAAAAGAAACUGGCAUCCAGACCCAGAUAAGAUGGUUUAUCGGAGACACUAGUCUGCCAUCUUCCCGGUCUGCCGGCUUUCCGAAUAAAGUCGUAUUCCUUACCUCAACACCUCGUCUUCGAUUCAUUGGCCUGUCGUGCGGAGAGCAGAGUGAGCUUGGACUCGGCAACAAAUUUAGCGAGCCAACCAGGAGACUUGCUCCUGUCUAGCCAGCCCCAGUCAGGGAAUAUUGAGGCAAGGCCCUAGCAGCUGCCAGGACCAUUUGUCCGGAGGAUCUUCCCUUCAAAAUUCCCUGAAGCGGCACUGGUUAUCCCAGCACUUGGCAAUUGAAGCAAGGAACCGACAAACUUCAAUUUGGUGCUACGAGGCAAUGGACUCGAUUCGAUUUGCAGGAUAAGUCGCUCUGGCGUGCACGCCAGGAACAUAUUCCCCCCUCAAUCUGGGCUUUUCCUUUACAGGACAAGCCAAUCUGGUUGAGGUACCCUGCUGGAGGGGGGAAUUGUUGUUGGACUCUGCCCGAUUCUGGGAACUGGUUCCCUGGGAACUAGUUCAUUGGUUUUGUAGGGUAAGUCUACCCGAUCUGGGAACUAGUUCGUUGGUUUUGUCUUGGUUUUGUGUGCAUCGAUGCUAGAAUUUGUGCGUUUUGUGUUGGAAUUUGUUGGCGUCUUCUGUGUCUUGGUGUCAUCAAACUUUUAAAAGUGGAAAAUACUCCAUCUAUCCUAAAGGAGAGCCCUUUGGGGAAUAUAUUAUAUAAAUGGGCAAAACAUAGCCGUGAGCCUAUGACUAAGAAAGACAUGAUGUACUAUUGUAAUAGGGUGUGGACCCAAUAUAUCUUAGGAUCAGAAGAACGAUGGCCCCUGAAUGGCUCACUCAAUUAUUAUACAAUCUCGCUGUUAGAAAUGUUCUGCAAAAGAGCAGGGAAAAGAGAUGAGAUUCCAUAUGUAGGAGCAUUUAUGCUAUUGCAUCAGGAGGAAAAGGAGUCAGAGGGCUGCCACCUUAUGGUGCAGCAGUCUGAAAGAAAACCCAAGGGAAAACCUGUUCUACAAGGGAAGAGAAAAAAAUGAGAGUGGGGACAUGUUAUUUCAAAACUUAAACCCCUGUCCAGGCUAUCCAGCUCCCCCAGUGGCCAAGCAGGAUGAACCAGCAGUUGUUCCAACUGCCCCCCCACCAUGCCACCAGCAUAUUCACUGCCUCCUGUUUCCCCUACCCAAGGGGAUCAAACAGAAGUUUCUAUGGUAACACCCGGGACACAGGAACCUGGUUUAGUAUCACCAUCUAAGACCCGACAGGGCACCCAAUUUGGACUGGGAGCCACUUCUGCAGCAGGGCAAUUUCCCUUGUCCCAAUAUCUUGUAAGAGGCCAGGACACUCCCUUGGACUUGAGGCUUGCAAUUCUGAUUUCCCCACAGGAGCCCCGGGUAACAUUGACAGUGGGGACAAGUUGAUAGAUUUUCUAAUAAAUAUGGGUGAUCUUAAGAGGCUUGUAAAUAUUAAACAAAGGGGAAACAAAGUCAACCUAGGAGAAACUUGCCUGUAUCUUGCCUAUAUACAAGUGUCCUAUCUGGUUUUCUCAAAAACCCUUAUUAUCUCUGCCAUCUUUUUAAAAUGCAAAUUUUGAAAAAGAGGGUACAGUAAUUUAGAACUUGACUUGUUUUCCAUAAAUAUUAGUAGAAAGGGUUUAGCCAGCUAGACAAGUGAGCUUGAUUCGUUCCACCUGCCAGAAACCCAACUUUAAUGCAACCUCUUUUGUAAACCGAUGAGUUUUACAUUGCUGUACCUGACUCAGGGCUGAACUUUUGAAAUGAGAACUAUGAUGUCUCUCUGUUUGUUUGUGUGUUUGUAUGUGUUUUUGUCUUUGGAUAACAUUGCUGAGGUUAAUCUGUAAAUGAGCCCUAUUUAAUUGGCUUAAAGAAAAGUAAGUGCUUACAAACCAAACAAUUCUGAAUACAAGAGAAAUUAAGCUAAAUGAGUUUCAGGUUCACGUGAACUGGGAAAUAUUUAGUAUGAAAUUAAUACCUGGUAUUAAUGUUUAAGUUUGUUGAUCUAAUUAAUACAGACAUGUCUUUAGAGCCAUCAGCAUUAUAUAUAGUACUUUCACUGCACCUAGGUUUAAUAAAAGUUAAAUGAAAUCUUGUUACAUCUGUUGCAAAUUUGUCAGCAAGAAAAAUAACUUGAUAUGAUGAAAUUAAAGUAAAUAUAAAUGAAAUAAGAUCUUUUAGGUAAGCUAUAAGAAUAAUUAUGUCUUAAAAAUCAUCUAAAAUAGUUUCUCCAGAUUUUGGUAACUAUUACUUGCCUCUUGGUUGUCAUUGGAAAUUAAGGUUUUUAAGAGUCGGGGACUCUAAUUUAAAUAUAUAAUUAAAGCUACUGAAAAUAAUAAAACAUUUCAAAAUGGUAGAAUGUGUGUUUUCAGUUAAGAAGGUAUGAGGAAUGGAAUUACAUUUUACUGAGAAAGUUUUAUACGGCCAGGAUUAACUAAAUUUCGAUUGAAGUUACCUAAGUAAGUGGAUUUUGUUAAGUAAGCUAAUACAAGACUGGAAUUUGAUCUCUCUCUCUCUCUGUUAGAAGUGCUCCUUUUGAUAACAGAUUAUAUAAGUUUCUGUGCCCUUAGGUGAUCCGUAUUUGUUUUCUUUUAAUCGUUUUGUGACUUUGGUUAAAUGAAUAAGUACUGUUUCUCAGUGACCUAUGAUCCUGUUGUGUUUUAAAACCUUUCUGAUAUUUUUGUGUAUCUUUUUUUUUUUUUUUUUUUUGCGGUACGCGGGCCUCUCACUGUUGUGGCCUCUCCCGUUGCGGAGCGCAGGCUCAGCGGCCAUGGCUCACGGGCCCAGCCGCUCCGCGGCAUGUGGGAUCUCCGCGGACCGGGGCACGAACCCGUGUCCCCUGCAUCGGCAGGCGGACUCUCAACCACUGCACCACCAGGGAAGCCCCCUUUUUGAUAUUUUUAACAAACUUCCUAAAUAUCAAAAUCUGAAUAAAGCUUUUUAGCCUCCAGCUGACUCUGAGAUACUUCAAAAGAACAUCUCUGAGACAUCUCAGAGAGAGAUGUCAAACUAAUUUUAUUUGGUAUGUUAAAUUACUUCAAAAACAUUGUCAAGUGAUUGGAGAUGAACCUUAGGUUAUGGUGUAUGCAUAAAUGUCAUUUUUAUAGAUAUUCCAAAAUUUAUAUGGAAUCCCUAAUAUCUGCUAUGUCCUGAUAUGUUAUCAAUCAUAAUACUAGUUAUUCUAAGAUGUUAUAUCCAAGUUUCCUGCUAAUUACAUUGUACUCAAAUCUUUAACCAUGCUAUUUUAAGUUUUGUCCUGAUGCUUUUACAAAAUGAAGAUCUUCAAGAAGACUGAUAAAAAGGAACUUUUUAAGAAAUAUAAGUUUCUGAUAGCCUUUAGAUAAUAUCACUGGACUGGGUAACAUAUGACAAAACUAAUGGGAAACCUGAUUAUUUCAUCCAGAUCAAUGGGAAUUAAUUACAUGAGACUGAAAACAUGGCAGAUAUGAUUUAUGACUUUGGGAAAUAUACUGACUUUAAUCUUUGUUUUUCAGAAAAACCUUUUCUCUUAUGCGAUGACCUACAACAGGUUGAUAAAGUAUGCCUUUGUAAACAAAGACGAAACAUUUAUCUUUUUCUCUCUACCUGAUCCUGCCAGAAUUUUUUGUCUCCAGCAGGCUGUCCUGUGGACUUGAUAUUAUGUUAAUCAUUGUUUGAAUUUCUUCUUUAUUUCCAAAUUGUUUGUGCUUUGUGUCUCCCUGCAGCACUAUGUCUUUGUCAUUGCUACUAGCUGCAUUACUUAUAUCCUAUUUUAUAAGAUUGUUGUCUCUUGCAGUACCCAGUGUGUAACCAGGCCUCAAAACAAAACUUCUAUGGCUAAACAUCUUAAGAAAAUAAAUCACUUUUAUAACAUAAAAUAAUUGUAAUAAUAUGAUUCUAGGUAUGGGAAGAAGCAACAAGGGAAAAUGUCUCCUGGAUCAUAAUUAGAGGAUCCAGAGAAUCUUUAAUUAUCAAUAGGGCCUAAUCCAAAAAUUAGCACCUGGAGUGGCAUAUCAAGAAUCUUUGCCUGACCUGGGAUGAGCCUCCCAGCACCGUGGGACAAAAUUUGAUCGUGAAAUGUCUCCCAAAUAUUGGUCAGAUUCCCUACCAAGAGGAGAGGAUCAGUCAUCGGCGAUUGCAGCCCUCCAACUUGAGCUGGUGAACGCUGAGGAAACUCAGGAAGAAGAAUACCUGCCAUCUAGCAGCCAUCAGACUGCAGCCACUCCCUAUGGUGAGCCCUGAGGACACUCAGGAUGUGAAAAUACAGGAUAUAGGCUAAGAUAGGUGUGGUGCAUAUCAAAGAAAUGAUUUCAGUGAGCCCAGACUCUUGCAUCUUCCCAUACAUAGGAAAAACGCUAAAUUCCUUAACUGGUUAUUUGGGGAAAGGUGAGGGGAAAAUGGAAUUUGAAAUGUACCAAAAUCGAAGGUAUGUCCCAGUUCACUUUAUUUAUUUAUUUAUGGCUGGGUUGAGUCUUCGUUGCUGUGCUCGGGCUUUCUCUAGUUGUGGUGGGUGGGGGCUACACUUUGUUGCGGUGCGCGGGCUUCUCAUUGCGGUGGCUUCUCUUGUUGCGGAGCACAGGCUCUAGGCGUGUGGGCUUCAGUAGUUGCAGCGCGUGGGCUCAGUAGUUGUGGCUCGCGGGCUCUAGAGCACAGGCUGAGUAGUUGUGGCGCACGGGCUUAGUUGCUCCGCGGCAUGUGGGAUCCUCCCAGACCAGGGCUCGAACCUCUGUCCCCUGCAUUGGCAGGAGGAUUCUUAACCACUGCGCCAGCAGGGAAGCCCAUACACCUGAAACAUUUUAAAUCAACUGUACUUCUAUUGAAGUUUAAAAACAAUGAAGGUACAAUAAAGACAUUUCAAACAACACUGAAGAAGUUUGCUAUCACUAAAUCCUGUAUUAGUAGUCUACUGCUGCAUAACAAAUUAUUACAAACUCAUUGGCUUAAAAGAAAACAUGUAUUAUCUCACAGUUUCUAAUGAGUCUGGGUACAGGUUAGCUUGGUCCUCUGCUCAGGAUCUCACCAGGCCGAAAUCAAGGUGUCAUCCAGGUCUGCAAUCUCAUCUGAGCUCCAGGUCCUCUUCUAAGCUCACUGGUUAUUGGCAAAAUUCAGCUCCUUGCAACCGUAGAACCGAAGACUCAACUACUAGAGUCCACGUGGCCUUCUCCACAAUGUGGCAGUUUGCUUCUUCAUGAUAAACAGGAGAAUCUCUCUGACUUCUAUCUGAACCCUUUUAAAGGGCUCACCUGAUUAGGCCAGAUCCACCCAAAAUAACCUCCCCUUUGAUUAUCUCAAAGCCAAUUGGUUACUUGAGUCUUUAACUCACCAACCUAUCUAAAAUAUCAAACUGGGCCCCUCAUCAUGGCACUCCUUUCCUUUCGUGCUUCACUUGUGUCCAUAGCAUCAUAUGAGUGCUAUGUAAUUUUAUCAUAUAUUUUUAUUAUCUCCCUUACUCCACUAGAAUAUACACUUCUUGAAUUCAUGAAUGUUUAUCUGUUCUACUCAUUACUGUAGAACAAUGCCUGGAUCAGUUGAUACUCCAUUAAUUUAUUCAUUUAAAAAUUAAGUUCAUUAAAUUUAAGAUCAUUUAAUGAAUAAAUUAAUGAAUGACACAGACCAUGGAAAGCUUUGAGGAACUCAAAUGUAGAAAGAUGUGAAGAAAAGUAUGGUAGACGAAUAAAUAUUGUUCAGUCACACGCACACAAAGCCAAAUGGUUAUAGACUUUAAUUACAUCAGCAAAUCCCAUUAACCCAAUAUAUAACAUAAUCACAGAAGUAAAAUUCUAUCAUGUUCAUGAGAUCUGCUCACACCCAGGGGGAAGAGAUUAUAGAGAAUGUGUACACAAGUGGGUAGGGAUCUUGGGAGCCAUCUUAGAAUUCUGUCUACCGCAAAUCCUCAUGAAAGGAACUUCUAAAGGAUGUACUUCAGGGUAGAAGGAAAAUAAUCCCAGAUGGAAGAUCUGAGACACAAGAAGGAAGAGUGAGCAAAGAAAAUACUAAACGUAUGGGUAAAUCCAUACAAAUAUCAACUAUUUAAAAUAACAAAAUAUCUGAUUUGUGAAAUUAAUGAAAUAACAAUAUAAUUAAAAUAUUGGGUUACAAAAGCAUAUGAAUUCAAAGAGAAUGAUUAAUGUUAAAGAACUCUAAGCUCUAUGUAUUGUUUGAAAGAAGAAUAAAGAUAUUGAUUAAAGUUGUUAAAUAAAUAUGCAGGGACUACCCUGGUGGUCCAGUUGUUAAGACCCCAGGCUCCCACAUGUGGCACGGCCAAUAAAAUAAAAUAAAAUAAAUAAAUAUGCAGGUUAAGGGACUUCCCUGGUAGUCCAGUGGUUAAGAAU
Globicephala melas (long-finned pilot whale) is the source of this 7864-nucleotide long non-coding RNA. RefSeq lists it as uncharacterized. NCBI's taxonomy places the organism in Eukaryota, Metazoa, Chordata, Mammalia, Artiodactyla, Delphinidae. The record is from RefSeq and is a predicted model, not a curated record.